UUGCAGCCUCCAGCGUGCUUGGGUCUGGGGUGGUCCUAUGCAUUCCUACGGUACUUGCGAGAACAGUUUGAGGCCUUGCCCUGCUGCAUCUGGAGCACGGUAAUAGAAGUUGCAGAUAGUC
This is a small nucleolar RNA of Eptesicus fuscus (big brown bat), 121 nucleotides long. RefSeq annotates it as small nucleolar RNA SNORA9. The record is from RefSeq and is a predicted model, not a curated record. Lineage: Eukaryota; Metazoa; Chordata; Mammalia; Chiroptera; Vespertilionidae. The transcript has a single exon.